UUUAAAACUAUAGAAAAGAUUAUUAUUAGAACGAUACAGAGAAGAUUAGCAUGGCCCCUGAGCAGGGAUGACACGCAAAUUCGUGAAGCGUUCCAUAUUUUU
This is a small nuclear RNA of Bufo bufo (common toad), 102 nucleotides long. The record is from RefSeq and is a predicted model, not a curated record. Lineage: Eukaryota; Metazoa; Chordata; Amphibia; Anura; Bufonidae.